GUCUACAGCAGUACCACCCUGAACACGCCCAAUCUCAUCUGAUCUCGGAAGCUAAGCAGGAUUGGGCCUGAUUAGUACUUGGAUGGGAGAGACCGUUAUCAGCACCAAUAGAGGGAGACC
This 120-nucleotide ribosomal RNA is filed under the name Castor canadensis (American beaver). The record is from RNAcentral. Lineage: Eukaryota; Metazoa; Chordata; Mammalia; Rodentia; Castoridae.